UAGACCGAUGCUCGCUGGUUUGGGCGUUUAGCUGUUAACUAAAAGGUUGUAGGAUCGAGGCCUACCGGUCUAG
This 73-nucleotide transfer RNA is filed under the name Psenopsis anomala (melon seed). RNAcentral's name for it is "tRNA-Asn". It matches the Rfam family "tRNA". Rfam says of the family: Transfer RNA (tRNA) molecules are approximately 80 nucleotides in length. Their secondary structure includes four short double-helical elements and three loops (D, anti-codon, and T loops). The record is from RNAcentral. Lineage: Eukaryota; Metazoa; Chordata; Actinopteri; Scombriformes; Centrolophidae.